RNA transcript from Lytechinus pictus (painted urchin), 2849 nucleotides. It is a transcript of the gene named late secretory pathway protein AVL9 homolog, with no coding region annotated. The record is from RefSeq and is a predicted model, not a curated record. The transcript is spliced from 14 exons. Lineage: Eukaryota; Metazoa; Echinodermata; Echinoidea; Temnopleuroida; Toxopneustidae.
ACUGUAGCUAUAGCUACUAGCACUCGAUCGCUGGCGCAACAUUAUUCUUGCUUUGGGACUGGGAACGUUGAAGAACGGAGCGCGAGUUCGAGGUGAUAUUUAGCUAUUUCUUCGAGGACCGGUAUUGUAUUGUGGAUAUAUAUUCGACUCUGAAAACUUGUCAUCCCCAAUCAGAAAUGGCAGAGAGUGACUUAAAAGACAAUGAAGAAAAAGACUCUGGAGAAUCAGAUGAUCGCGGGUCAAUUUUGCAUGUUGUUGUGGUCGGUUUUCAUCACAAGCGAGGAUGCCAGGUUGAUUUUUCCUACCCUCCUCUGGUAGAAGGCAGUGCUGAAGAGAGUCAUGAUGUACCGAGUGAAUGGAAACAUCUCCCCUUCCUUGCCCUGCCAGACGGGGCUCAUAACUUUGAAGAAGAUACCAUAUUUUUUCAUUUGCCUGGCAGAGGGGAGUGUAAUUCUACGAUCUAUGGAGUAUCGUGCUACAGGCAAAUCAAGGCUCAGGAUCUUCUUUCAAAGACUGCUGAUAUGACUCGAGGAACUGUUCAGAAGUGUGUCUGUGUCCUCAGCAAGUUGCCAUUAUAUGGAUUGAUCCAGGCAAAGUUAGAGCUCAUCACUCAUGCAUACUUCUGUGAGCGGGAUUUCUCCAAGACAAAAAUACUUCAGGAGUUCUAUGAGAAUCUCAACAAUUGCAUACCGAGGACGAUACCUGACGAUUCUCAAGUGUUUCUUGGUCUGUCCUUGAGGGACUUGGUCACAACCUUCAAACACAAGAUCUUGGUAUUGUUCAAGUUAAUGAUGCUGGAGAGAAGGAUCCUCUUCUACACUUCUCCCGUUCAUAAACUCUGCAAUGCACUUCUUGCUAUCGUCUCAUUGUUCCCAGGUAUGAUCGAACGAGGUCUUGAGAAUUCGGCCUGUCCCAAGCACUACAACCCUCGUAUCUCAUCCAUUGAGCUCACAGAUUAUGGUAUCAACACGGACGACUACCUCGAUGUGAAGAUGUCACAUGUGCCCAAUUACAGUCACCAGAAGAGCCAGGAGAGCACUCCGGAAAAGAGCUGCGAUAGCGGUGAGAAGUGCUUGAGGACACCUCUGGGAGACCCUAAUGCAAACUCGAUAGAGGACGAAGGUGUGGGCACAACAAAGUCUGAAGGAAAAAUGAAUGACAACCUGUCAAGGACAAGUUCAUUUGAUAAGGAAAACAUUCCUGUGAUUCGACGGGACAGUGAAAGCAGGAAAGCCAGUCGGUCGCCUUCUCAGGGGUCAAGAGGUGGUGAUGAAUCAAAGGAGAAGGUUACGAAUGAUGUCUCACCUGAAGAAGAGCUCCUAGAUAUGAUUGACCAGGAGCUCUAUGGAGACUUCUUUGAGAACUCCAAAGGCAACAGUGAGGGCAGGUCAGAUUUGAACUCAGAGGAAAGGGACAAAGUCAGCGACUCUUUGGAAUCCAGGAAAGAGAGCAAUGCCUCCGACGAAACCAAAGAAGACAGUGAACUGCGGACGCAGAACCGGCUUCACCAGCACUCGGCUAGUAUUCAAUCCGGCGACAGUGGCAUUGGUAGCUGCCAAAGGUCAUCAACGGUCAGCAGUGGUCAAUCACAGGCAUUUGAAGAGGGUGUCAGGGAGAUGAAGAUGGAGAGAUUAAGCGGAGCUGAAGAUUAUGUAGUCCUUCCAAAUAUGCCACAGCAAGAGCCCAUGGAGCUGGAUCGCUUUGGCUUUCCACUUGCAAUAUUUGGAAAGGGUUCCUUGUGCCAUCCGUACAUGUCUCUUCAGCAGCACGACAUGCUACAAGACGUCAAUGUCAGGUCGUUUGUCAUCGGAGCAACAAAUGCUCUCUUCAAACACCAUAAGCAUCUCAUGGACGUCAUUGUGGAGGUUGAGGAAGGUAAAGUAAAUAUCUUAGACAAUGAACUGAGGAAGCAGGUGUCUUUAAGCACAGCUGAUCUGAGGUUUGCAGACUUCUUAAUCAAGAAUGUAACAGACCGCAGUGAUGUAUAUCUAGAUGGAACAGGAUGGGAAGGAAGUGAUGAAUGGAUAAGAGCACAGUUCAAACUCUACAUACUCUCUCUCUUAUCAACAUGUACAAGUAUUGGAACCUAUUCAGUGAGUGAAAUAGGAGACUUCAAUGAGAGUUUUGUGCAAGCUUGGAAAACAACUCAUAACUUCAGAAUGUGGAACAGUAAGGUUCAUCCUGGCAUCGAUCAAAUACAUACUGGGCAUCCCUUCCACGGUCACCUCAGUGUCAGCGAUAUGAAGAUUAGAUUAUCAAGGUGAGUAUUCACAGCAAACACUAUACACAGAUUUAGAAAGGAAGGCUACUAGGUAGAUUCUAGACCACAAUCCAAUUAGAAUUAGCUCGGACUUAUCUCUUUUUCACCUCACCUGAGAUUGCUCAUGUGGGGGCGUCGUGGUCUAGUAGUUAUGACUCUCGUCUGUCAUUCUGAGGGAUGUGGGUUCAAUUCCCAGCCAUCGCAUGUUUUCCUUCAGCAAGAAAUUUACCCACAUUGUGUUGCACUCAACCCAGGUGAGGUGAAUGGGUACCCGGUAGGAAGAAAUUCCUGGAAUGUCUGAGCUCUUAGGUAACCGAGCUAAUGCCGGGGUAAUAAUGAUAGCAGGGCCAGCUGGGAGAACAGUUUUCAGAAUUGAAGUGGCUGCCCUGGGUCAAUAUACAGAUAUUUUUAUAAUUAUUAUGAUUUUUUUUUGUGAAUGCUUUAUUGUUGAAAUGACAUUGGAAGGCAAAAGUCUGUGGAGAAGACUACACAAAGCCUUAAUUGAAAUAUACUCUAACUUAUAGAGGCUUACCCUAUGAACUAGGGACAGGUCCUGGAUUUACAAGACAGGAGGGCAGGGGAGCACUUU